RNAcentral lists this unclassified non-coding RNA (372 nucleotides) under uncultured Gammaproteobacteria bacterium. RNAcentral's name for it is "contains 16S-23S intergenic spacer region". Lineage: Bacteria; Pseudomonadati; Pseudomonadota; Gammaproteobacteria. The record is from RNAcentral.
UCCGGUUUGUCACCGGCAGUCUCCUUAGAGUGCCCUUGCGUAGCAACUAAGGACAAGGGUUGCGCUCGUUGCGGGACUUAACCCAACAUCUCACGACACGAGCUGACGACAGCCAUGCAGCACCUGUGUUCCGGUUCCCUUUCAGGCACCCCCGCCUCUCAGCGGGCUUCCGGACAUGUCAAGGGUAGGUAAGGUUGUUCGCGUUGCAUCGAAUUAAUCCACAUCAUCCACCGCUUGUGCGGGUCCCCGUCAAUUCCUUUGAGUUUUAAUCUUGCGACCGUACUCCCCAGGCGGAUCACUUCACGCGUUAGCUACGGUACCAGCAGAUUGCUCCGCCAACACCUAGUGAUCAUCGUUUAGGGCGUGGACUAC